This is a long non-coding RNA of Enhydra lutris kenyoni (northern sea otter), 822 nucleotides long. RefSeq lists it as uncharacterized. NCBI's taxonomy places the organism in Eukaryota, Metazoa, Chordata, Mammalia, Carnivora, Mustelidae. The record is from RefSeq and is a predicted model, not a curated record. The transcript is spliced from 4 exons.
UCUAGGGAGCCCAGCUUCCUAACAGGUAGCUGGGCCCUGAGUCCUGGCCCUGGUCUGGAGCACCAGCCUUGUGACCUGGUGCAAGUCACUUAGGCUCUCUACGCUUCAGUCUUCUUAGUAAAUGGGCUUGAUAAUAGCACCUACUUCAUAUUGUUGCUAUGAGAGAAUGCAUAUAAAAAGCUUAGUUUGCCAUGCAGCUACUGGUCUGGGGGCAGUCUCUCUGACCUGUUGUGAGCCUGGGCCAUGUGACCAAUGAUGUCACAAAGCACUACUAGACUCCUAACUUCUCCAGUAGGGCCGUGUGGAUCCUUUGGAGCCAAGGACUGGAACUGACAUGCAAGUUCUCUACCAACUGAGGGUUUCAUGAGCACACUCCUUUGCCAAAACCUUGGUGAAUAGUCUUUAACUGCGCAGUUGUGUCUUAGACAUUGUUUUACUUGUUAUCAUGAUUGUACUUGGCUGGAUGCUUUUUGUUGGACUUGCAUGUUACAUGGGCACAUUUCCGGAGUUCAUGCCUCCAACUCUGAAGUGGAAAGAGAAGUGGUCUGUUCAGGAGGACAAGACACGACUGAGGAGCCAGACCUUGGAUGAAGACCAGCAGCUCUGAGAACCAUGUGGAAGGGAUAUAAGUAUCCCCCAGGAGGGACCCCGGUGGAAAUAAGCAAAGAUGAUCCUGGCGAAGUAAUGCAGCUGUGAAGCUCACCUGGCCGGCUAUACAGCUCCUGUUGUUGGUUUUGCAUAAAGUAAUUGCACAUUAUUUUGUCACAUUUUAUGUAAAAAGUUACCGUACUUUUUAAGAUGAAGACUUGGUAUUCUGUUAGC